ACAGGCUACACAUUGCCUUGAGGAGAGCUUCAGGAACGUUGCUCUGUGCACUUCAGAAGGCUGCCCAGACUCUGUUGUGAGUGACAUUUAAACCCAACUGAAUCAAUGAGACAGACUGCUUUGGGGCUCCCAGAUUCAUAGUUUCCAUCCUUGACCUGUGGAUCCAAGUGGAUAACGCGGAAGGGUGACCGCACAGGAAGUGAUGCGAUGUCCUCCCAUCAGUCUCUGCAGCUGGAGGAACACCUGGCAGAGCACAGAUGGAUCAGUUAAUAACUUUACUGUACUCUCCGCAAAGACAAAUAACUCCCCAGAAACAGAC
Non-coding RNA from Pimephales promelas (fathead minnow), 319 nucleotides. NCBI's taxonomy places the organism in Eukaryota, Metazoa, Chordata, Actinopteri, Cypriniformes, Leuciscidae. The record is from RefSeq and is a predicted model, not a curated record.